GAUGAACGCUAGCGGCAGGCCUAAUACAUGCAAGUCGAACGGGAUCCAGAUCAAAGCUUGCUUUGGUUUGGUGAGAGUGGCGCACGGGUGCGUAACGCGUGAGCAACCUACCCUUGUCAGGGGGAUAGCCCGGCGAAAGUCGGAUUAAUACCGCAUGACAUCAUUGAGAGGCAUCUUUCGAUGAUCAAAGAUUUAUCGGACAAGGAUGGGCUCGCGUGACAUUAGCUAGUUGGUAAGGUAACGGCUUACCAAGGCUACGAUGUCUAGGGGCUCUGAGAGGAGAAUCCCCCACACUGGUACUGAGACACGGACCAG
This 315-nucleotide ribosomal RNA is filed under the name uncultured bacterium. RNAcentral describes it as "bacterial SSU rRNA". It matches the Rfam family "Bacterial small subunit ribosomal RNA", at positions 28 to 334 of the family's 1533-position model. The record is from RNAcentral.